GGGCCCGCACAAGCGGUGGAGCAUGUGGUUUAAUUCGAUGAUACGCGAGGAACCUUACCAGGGCUUAAAUGUAGAUUGAAUGGCGUGGAAACAUGCCAGUCUUCGGACAAUCUACAAGGUGCUGCAUGGUUGUCGUCAGCUCGUGCCGUGAGGUGUCAGGUUAAGUCCUAUAACGAGCGCAACCCCUGUCGUUAGUUGCCAGCAAGUUAAGUUGGGCACUCUAGCGAGACUGCCGGUGCAAACCGCGAGGAAGGUGGGGAUGACGUCAAAUCAUCACGGCCCUUACGUCCUGGGCUACACACGUGCUACAAUGGCCGGUACAGAGAGCAGCCACUACGCGAGUAGGAGCGAAUCCCAAAAAGUGCGUCGUAGUCCGGAUCGGAGUCUGCAACUCGACUCCGUGAAGUCGGAAUCGCUAGUAAUCG
Molecule: ribosomal RNA, 425 nt
Filed under: uncultured bacterium
Lineage: Bacteria
Description: bacterial SSU rRNA
Rfam family: Bacterial small subunit ribosomal RNA
Source: RNAcentral